RNAcentral lists this long non-coding RNA (7742 nucleotides) under Durio zibethinus. Its description in RNAcentral is "long non-coding RNA (DZIB_LNC002042)". Lineage: Eukaryota; Viridiplantae; Streptophyta; Magnoliopsida; Malvales; Malvaceae. The record is from RNAcentral.
ACACAGAAAACAGUGAGCCUGAGCUACUGAUUUGAGGGGAAAAGGCGAAUAGAAGAGUGUAGAAGGCUAAGAAAAGGUUUAGGAGAGUUCUAGGAAUCAUCGGGAAUUUUUUGGGAAUUUUUUGAAUUUUUUUUUUCUGGGAAUUUCUGGAAAUUCCAGAUUCCGGUUAAUUUUUCCGGCCAAGUUUGAAUUUUUCGGCGACAAUUCCGGCCAAAUUUGAAGUUUCCGGCCAUCUGCCCAGUUUCCGGCGAGGAAUCCCAGAAACCGGUGAAUAUUCCCAGAAACCGGUCGACUUCCGGCCAAAUUCCAGCGAUAUUUUCAGAUUCCGACGAAUUUCCCAGAAUUCGGCACCGGUGUUCUUCAGUUUCUAGAGAGAAGGGAGAGAAAAAAAGAAGAAGAGAGAGAGAGGGAGAAGCGUUCUGUCGAAAAAAUGAAGGGGAUUGCCUUUUAUACCCUCCCAAAACGACGUCGUUUUGGCUUUAAGUUAAUCAGAGGAUCCGCGCGUUUUGCCGUAACCCGACCCGACCCGGGCGUCGACCCGUUUUCUGACCUGCGCGUGCCAGCCCACUCCGAGUCGAGGCGAGCCGAGCCAAGCCGCCAAGCCGCUCCCCCGAGCCGUUUUCUCUUCCUUGAGCCGAGCCGAGCCGAGUCGCGAUCCGAGCCGCUCUAGGUUUUUUUUUUUUAUUAUUAUUAUUUCUUUGUUUAUUUGUUUAUUUGUUUAUUUUAUUUUUUAUUUUUUAUUUAUUAGAUUAGGUUUAUGUAAUAUUCUUUUUAUUUAUUUUUUAUUAUUUUAUUUUCUUUAAAUAAAAAAAAUUUCUAAAAAAUAUUUUUAGGGAAAAGUUGAAAGUAUCAAUUUUCCUUAGAAAUAAAUUUCCAAAAUAAAAUAUUUUUAGGGAAAAGUUGAAAGUAUCAAUUUUCCUUAGAAAUCAAUUUCCAAAAAAGUAUUUUUGGGGAAAGUUGAAAGUAUCAAUUUUCCUCGGAAAAAAAUUUCAAAAAAAAAUAUUUUUAGGGAAAAGUUGAAAGUAUCAAUUUUCCUUAAGAAUAAAUUUUCAAAAAAUAUUUUUAAGGAAAAAUUGAAAGUAUCAAUUUUCCUUAGAAAUAAAUUUCCAAAAAAAAAAUAUUUUUAGGGAAAAGUUGAAAGUAUCAAUUUUCCUUAAAAGAAAAAUAAAUUUCCAAAAAAAAAGUAUUUUUGGGGAAAAGUUGAAAGUAUCAAUUUUCCUUAGAAAUAAAUUGUCAAAAAAGGGGUUUUUGAGGAAAAGUUGAAAGUAUUAAUUUUCCUUGAAAAUCAAAAUUUCCAAAAAAUAUUUUUGGGGUAAAGUUGAAAGUAUCAAUUUUCCCUAAAAAAAAAUCAUUCUUUCCUUCCUUUUUAUCUUAAUUUUGAUUUUGUUUUUUUCUAUAAAUAAUCCGACGACGGAGCCUCUGUAAGUGAAACAGUAGUUUUUCUUGCAUACUCCUAAGGUGAGGGAAUUUUCUCAAUUUUCUGCUAAAAGUAUUAGAGUCAAUUGAGAAUAAUUUCUAACAAUUAAUUACUUGGUAAAAUUUUAAGGCUUUUUGGAUAACACAAAUUUAAGCUGGUACCAUCUUUUGAUGGGCGUUGUGAGGGUGCUAUAACCUUCCUCACACGUAACCGAACUCCCAAACUCUGUUCUGGUUUGUAGACCUGAACCUAUUCUUUUAGGGACCCUUAAGCUUAGGUGUUCCCUUAAAGGACAGAUUCUUUAGGUGGCCAAUCGCACCUAGAUAAAAAAGAUUGGUGGCGACUCUCUAAAAGUCAAUGUCUAGCGAUAGAUCCCCGGAUCUAGACGUUAUGACAGCUUGGCGACUCCGCUGGGGACCUUGAGAGUCAGGCCAGCAAAUAAUUUGUGUUAUCCAAAAGCCAAAUGAAAUUGAACCUUGUUGUAUAUAUGUGUUGUUAUUCAUUCAUGUUUUAGUUACCUUGUUAAUUAUGUCAUUCAUAUGCAUAUGCAUAACAUGAGCUCUAUACCCGAGCUUCGUCCCUCUAGAAGGGAGUAAAGUACCUAUUGCUUUCGUGAGGUCUAAUGCCUCCGCAGUGGCUAGCGAAAUACUCCCACUCAAAUUGAACUUUUUUCGCUUGUAGCCUGUAAUGGGUGAGGAUUAGGGUGCCUUACUAGUCUGUGAUGGACAAGGAUGUAAGGAGCAAUUUGGGAACCUUUAGACUUUGACCUUAAACCACAUAUAGUGAACUUUAGGAGUGCUUACACCUAGGAUAGAGCUCUUUCUACCCAAUGAUAGAUAUACCCUAAAAUUAGGACACAAAAAAAGGUAUUUAUCUAAUCAUUUUGAUUGUUUAACUUUGUGUAUUAUUUUUAUCAUAUGUGACAUUAUGCAUCAACAUCACUUACGUUUCAUCCACGGAACUAACUAUGUUGUUUGUCUGAUUGUAUGCAUCUGUAUUCUUUUCAUGAUCAUGUUUCAACACAGUCAUUUGCAUUCAUUUCAUACUAGAUUUCAUUCAAAAAAUGUACAUUUCAUUUGUGUGUCAAAGCAUCAUACAUAAGGCACAGCAUAACAUUUCUAAUCAUAAGUAUGGUACUCAAGGUCCGAGGAUAGCUCCAUCUAGCGAAAACCCUACUCAUCCAUACAACACAAGAUCCAGAGCAAGGCAAAUGGAAGAAGAAAGUUCUCAUAGAUUUGAAAAGCUAGAAAAAGCUCAGGAGAAGAUUGAAAAUGAACUUAGCAAAAUUCUGGAGGCUCUCAAUAAUAUGAAUAAAGGAAAAGGAAUUGAAGGAAGUACAAGCCAGCAAGAAGUGGCUGACCCAUUGUACCCUCCAGGUUUUGGCCCACCUCAAGCCCAGUCUGCCCAAGAGGUCCCACCACAACAUUUUGCAUAUCCAACAUGCCCUGGAAUGCCAUCAGCUUUUAACCCAGGGCAGUAUAAUAGCUAUAUAAAUCCUGUCUUCACCGAAAAGGCAGUAGAACCAAUUCCUGAUCUAGAUGAUGUAAAAGAGAAGGACAAGAAAAAGGUAAGGGUGGAAGCUGAGGAAAGUUCUAAGAUUAGCAUGCUAGAGCAGAGGCUACGGGUUGUAGAAGGAUUUAGCUUUUAUGGGUCAAUUGAUGCUGCUGGGCUCUGCCUAGUUCCUGAUGUGGUUAUCCCCUAUAAAUUCAAAGUACCGAAAUUUGAAAAAUAUGACGGUACAAAGUGCCCUAAAACCCACAUCACCAUGUAUUGCAGGAAGAUGGCAGCUCAUGCACAUGAUAAAAAACUCUUGAUGCAUGUCUUCCAAGAUAGUCUUACUGGUUCUGCUGCCAGGUGGUAUGUUCAGCUGGAUAGAACCCACAUUCGCUCCUGGAGCGAUAUGGCUCAUGACUUCAUCAGCCAAUAUCGACACAUCAUCGAUUUGGCCCCUGAUCGUUUAUCUUUGCAAAAUCUGGAGAAAAAGUCAAAUGAGUCUUUUAAAGAAUACGCCCAGAGAUGGAGGGAUAUAGCUUCACAGGUACAACCUCCACUGACAGAAAAAGAGACCACAGUGCUGUUUGUUUGUAGCACUUUAAAGCCUUCCUAUUAUGAAAAGAUGAUAGGAAUGCAACAAAGAAUUUUGCUGAACAUGUAAUCUCUGGAGAAAUGAUUGAAAGUGCCAUAAAAAAUGGUAAGUUGAGAAGAGAGAGUAGAAGAACAGAGACACAGAAGAGAAUAAAAGAAUACAAGAUAUGUGAGACAUCAGAUAGACAACAAUUCAGGGGUUAUCAACCCUAUCCAUCCCAAGGUUACUCUCCAUACUAUCCUGCUGUGAAUAAUGCCUCAUCCUACCCAUACCAGCUAGCCCACAACCAUCUUAUUCAUCCACUUACCGCCUUAACAUUCAAGCUCCUGUAAGAACCCAAAUUCGCCUACUAACCCAGCAAGUGGCUCACGAGAACAACGGACUGCUCGAGAAAAACCUGUAUUUGAUCCAAUCCCUAUGACUUAUACAGAGUUAUAUCGAGAACUCUAUAAUAGCCACUUGAUUGCCCCCAGCCAUGUAAAACCACUUAAACCACCCUAUCCAAAGUGGUAUGAUCUUACAGCCCGUUGUGACUACCAUUAUGGAAUUACUGGCCAUUCUACUGAAAAUUGCACUGCUUUAAAGUAUAAGGUGCAACGGUUGAUCAAUGAUGGAAUGGUAAGUUUUGAUCAGGGAAAAGCAACGGCAUCUAAUGUUAGUGCUCUGAACGAAAGUCAAGAACAGAAAGGAUCCGGAGAUUCACAAUGAAUUGAGGGGCAAGAUUUCAAUGGAGAUAAGGUUGGUUGAAGGUUUCUUCUGUCAUUUUGGGAUUUCUUUUCAAACAAUGUUAGAUUUUUUUGCAAUAUGACUUCACUUGUUAUCAUUUUAAUAAAGGCAAGUCAAUACAUUUCAUUACAUUUUCUCUUUCACUCGACCUUUCAUGACUUUACAUUCCCAUUUUCAAAUUUCAGAUGAUGAAUAUUUAGACAAUGGUAACAAUAAUUCUGGAAUUUAAUUUUGAGAACUCAUUCACAGAGGAGAUGAUUUGAGCGAAAAUAAAGAGGGUAAGCCAUUACCAGAGAUGAAAGAGAUAUAUCUUGAAGGUGUGCAAUCUUUUAUACAAGUUCAUGAGCUUUGUUCAAUAGAUGAUGUUCAAGAAAGGUAUUCACAAUUGAGAUGAAAAAUGGCCAUCUUUCUUUUACCAUUUGAAAAACCAUUUAUUGUUACCCCUUUGAGCUUAUCAUUUUUUUUUUUUGGAAGAACCCCAACCAAGGAUCACCCUCUACACUGGAGGGUAAAUUUUGAAAAAAAAAAAAAGAAAAAAAAACACCACAAAAGGUCUCAAAAAUGGAAAGAGAAAGAAAAGUAAAAAAAAAUGCCACACAUAACUUGGGGCAAAGUAAUGAGAAUCCUUUGUGUGAGGAAAGAGAAAAGUAGUGAAACGAUGUGGGGGCAAAAUGCCAAGUUGUAUCAAAUGAUCCUUUGGUUUUGAACCUUUUUAAUACAUAUUUUGAGCCUAUUCUAUCCAUUUUUUUAUGACCCUUCACCUUGGCCUACGUUACAACCUUGAAAAGUCCAUUUGGAUCAAGUAUGAAUACCCAACUUGAAUGAUCAUAGGUUGAGCAAAGAUAUGCUCGUGAUGAAGCAAUGAAAUCAUGCUACAUGAAAGAUAUCAACACUGGAUGAAAAAUGAGAAAAGAAAAAAAAGAAAAAAAAAGGAAAAAAUGAGAAAAUGAAAAAAUGAAAAAAGAGAACCAAAUUAAAAACCUGAAAGGGUGAUUUUGGUACCAAAAAAAAAAAAAAUCCAGGUCAAAUGGCUCACAUGAAUGAAAGAUCAAAAACAUCUGAAGAUCCCUCAAAGACUGGGGCAGAGUUCGCCAAGCUCAAGAUGACUUCAACUGUAAAUGAAAUGAGUUUUUGAAAAAGAAUCCUAGAUUAAUGUUGAGAAUUGUCUGAAUAUUCAUCAUUUGGACAUACCAUCCAUCCCAAUGACAUGUAUCCAAUUCACUUCUUUUCCCAUUUGCUUUAUACCAAAACAGAUCUUCAUUGAUUAUCUUUACCAUAAUUCACCUUGCCUUCUCUUAUUGUUUCACCCCUAGAAUGAAUUGAGAAAAUGCUUGGUUGCAUUGUAUUUGUCAAAAUGAUAAUAAAUGAAUGAAUAUGUGCUUAAAAGAGUCUUGCAUUCAUUUGAAAAGAAAUCUAAGAUGAUGGUGGAGAUAAAUGAAGAAAUGGUAGAAACCAAGAGGAGAUGAUUUAGAAGGAUAUAUGAUGUGAUCAAAUGAAAAAAUAGGGCAGUGAUACAAUCAAGUGAUGAGUACGAGGAUGAAUUGGUCAAUAUGACUUGCAAGUUGUGAUUGAAUGAUGAAGACAAAGUCUGUUUUGGAAAGGUUAAUGCUGAGACACCUAUGAGUAAUGACCUAGUGAUGGUGGAUGAAACUUGUUUUGAAAUUUGUUAGUGCUGAGAAAUUCAUUGAAUGAUGGUCAAGUAAUGAUCGAUCGAUGAAGCUUAUUCCAAAGUAUUGAGAAACUGAACAAGGAAGAAUGUGAGUGAGACAAAUUGAGAGCUACAUUGGUUCGAUCCUAGAAGAGCAGUGCAAUUGGAUCCUUAAGGAAUCAAAGGGCUUGACGCCCAAGAAAGAAAAAAAGAGCUUGAAAAACUUGAGUACCAUACAUUGAACAGGAAUUAAUUGGCCAACAUUUGCAUAGCAUGCAUUGAAAUUCAUAUGCAUUUGCAUAGCAUACACUACUUUCAGGAAAGUAUAGUGUACAAAUUCAAGAAGCAGGGGUGUUCCAACAUCCCACAUGAAAAAGACAGAUAUGAAAAGACUUUGCAAGUUUGAGAAAAAACUUGUCAGGUAAGUUCCUAAUCCUUGAAAUAGGAUGUCUCUUGGUAUCGGGGUUGAUUUAUAAGACCUUUGGGCAUAAUCUCCUGAAAUCCCUUCAAACACAACUUUCAACUCCUUCGGACAUGAUCGUCUAGGAGUAUUUACUUUCCAAGUUCGUUGCCUCUGUUUAGAGGAGCAAUUUAUUUUUCCAAAGUCGUGGUGCCUCUGUUUAGAGGAGCAAUUUAUUUUUUCAAAGUCGUGGUACCUCUGUUGAGAGGAGCAAUUUAUUUUUCCAAAGUCGUGGUGCCUCUGUUUAGAGGAGCAAUUUAUUUUUUCAAAGUCGUGGUACCUCUGUUGAGAGGAGCAAUUUAUUUUUCAAAGUUCCGUUGCCUCUGUUUAGAGGAGCAAUUUAUUUUUCCAAGUUCGUUGCCUCUGUUUAGAGGAGCAAUUUACUUUCCAAAGUCGUGGUACCUCUGUUUAGAGGAGCAAUUUACUUUUCAAAAGUCGUGGUGCCUCUGUUUAGAGGAGCUUUGGUAAAAAAAAAAUAAAAAAAUAAAAAACAAAAAAACAAAAAACAAAAAAAACCAAAAACAAAAAAAAAAACAAAAAAAAAACCAAAAAAAUGUUGAGUUGAGUCUUGAUUGGGUGUCUACGUCUUUGCGCAAUUUUUGUUUCACAAAAAAUGUGCAAAGAGGGGCAGCUGUAGACACCCAAUUGGGUCCGGCCCAGAUCAAUUGGGCCUGGCCCAAAUGGGUAGGGCCCAAUUCAAUUUGUCCUGUAUUAUUUUGUAUUUUAUGUAUUUUAUGUAUUUUAUUAUUAUGUAUAUAUUUAUUUAUUUAUUUAUUUUUUAUUAGAUUAGAUUUAUAUGUAUAUAGUUAUAUAUUUAUUAUUAUUUUUUUUAUCUGUUCUGACUUUUCUUGAUUAUCAGAUAUUUUUUUUAUAAUAUCUUUUGAUUUAUCUUUUCUAAUUAUCUAGUAUUUUUUAUUUAUUUUGAUUUUAAUUUUGGAGGGCUAAGAUUCAAGGCUGAAGAAUCCCACUGUGGAGGGGAACUCAAUCAGAAGAGUCCAGUGGGAUUCAAAGAUUGAAUUCCCGUCCAAGGAGGAAUUGGGAUUGAUCAGGAACUCCUGAUCAAUCCCUAUAAAAGGGACUCUGGAACAGAAUGCAGGACACACAGAAAACAGUGAGCCUAAGCUACUGAUUUGAGGGGAAAAGGCGAAUAGAAGAGUGUAGAAGGCUAAGAAAAGGUUUAGGAGAGUUCUAGGAAUCAUCGGGAAUUUUUUGGGAAUUUUUUGAAUUUUUUUUUUCUGGGAAUUUCUGGAAAUUCCAGAUUCCGGUUAAUUUUUUCGGCCAAGUUUGAAUUUUCCGACGACAAUUCCGGCCAAAUUUGAAGUUUCCGGCCAUCUGCCCAGUUUCCGACGAGGAAUCCCAGAAACCGGCGAAUAUUCCCAGAAACCGGCCGACUUCCGACCAAAUU